CGGGCAGCUUCUUACUACUUCAUCCCUAAAGAAGUUUCUGCUAUACAUUCAAAAGAGUCUGUUUUAUUAAGUGCUGAUUACCAGUGAAUGCUGGAAUUCCUGAACAGCAUGCAUCUGAAGACUAAACCAAAAUAUCAGUAUCUUUGUAUACUUGCCACAAAAGAAGAGAAAUAUAAAUAGCAUUUCUUGAGGAUCUUCCAAUGCACCACUGUUGCUACUUUGUCAUGGGGUUGUUUGUAUCAGUCUGUGCAAUCUUCUUACAGCAGCUAACCAGGAAGAAAAUAGUGUGCUGUUCCUCUCACUAUUUACUAGUGGCCUAAUGCCUAGUGCAAGACCCAGUUUGGUUAGUGGUUAAGGCAUCAGGCUAGAAACCAGGUAGUGUGAGUUCUCAUCCUGCCUUAUGCAUGAAGAGAGUUGAGUAACCUUGGGCAGUAAUUUUCUUUUAGUCCUAUGAAAAAGGCAAUGGCAAACCACUUCUGAAAAACCUUGUCAAGAAAACUGCAGGGAUUUGCUCAGGCAAAUUUGAGACUCAGAUAUGAUUGAAUGAAAG
Molecule: non-coding RNA, 550 nt
Organism: Pseudonaja textilis
Lineage: Eukaryota; Metazoa; Chordata; Lepidosauria; Squamata; Elapidae
Source: RefSeq, a predicted model, not a curated record